This 453-nucleotide ribosomal RNA is filed under the name uncultured bacterium. RNAcentral's name for it is "bacterial SSU rRNA". It matches the Rfam family "Bacterial small subunit ribosomal RNA", at positions 340 to 786 of the family's 1533-position model. The record is from RNAcentral.
UACGGAAGGCAGCAGUGGGGAAUAUUGCACAAUGGGCGAAAGCCUGAUGCAGCUAUGCCGCGUGUAUGAAGAAGGCCUUAGGGUUGUAAAGUACUUUCAUCGGGGAGGAAAAACAAAACUAAUAAUUUUAUUUCUUGACGUUACCCGAAAAAGAAGCACCGGCUAACUCCGUGCCAGCAGCCGCGGUAAUACGGAGGGUGCUAGCGUUAAUCAGAAUUACUGGGCGUAAAGAGCACGUAGGUGGUUUUUUAAGUCAGAUGUGAAAUCCCUGGGCUUAACCUAGGAACUGCAUUUUGAAACUGAAAUACUAGAGUAUCGUAGAGGGAGGUAGAAUUCUAGGUGUAGCGGUGAAAUGCGUAGAUAUCUGGAGGAAUACCUGUGGCGAAAGCGGCCUCCUAAACGAAUACUGACACUGAGGUGCGAAAGCUGGGGAGCAAACAGGGAUUAGAUACC